ACAUCAAGGUGUAUGAUGCACAUUAGUUUUUGAUAUUAAAGGGAUUAGUUUAAAUCUAUUUUAUGU
This 66-nucleotide transfer RNA is filed under the name Ommatolampis quadrimaculata. RNAcentral describes it as "tRNA-Gln". Lineage: Eukaryota; Metazoa; Arthropoda; Insecta; Orthoptera; Acrididae. The record is from RNAcentral.